Molecule: unclassified non-coding RNA, 382 nt
Filed under: uncultured bacterium
Lineage: Bacteria
Description: contains 16S-23S intergenic spacer region
Source: RNAcentral
UCCGGCUUAACGCCGGCAGUCUCCUUAGAGUGCCACGGCUUUACCCGGGGGCAACUAAGGACAGGGGUUGCGCUCGUUGCGGGACUUAACCCAACAUCUCACGGCACGAGCUGACGACAGCCAUGCAGCACCUGUCUUGGCGCUCCCUUGCGGGCACUCCGGUGUUUCCACCGGAUUCGCCAGAUGUCAAGCCCAGGUAAGGUUCUUCGCGUUGCGUCGAAUUAAACCACAUGCUCCACCGCUUGUGCGGGCCCCCGUCAAUUCCUUUGAGUUUCAGCCUUGCGGCCGUACUCCCCAGGCGGGGCACUUAAUGCGUUAGCGCCGGCACCCAGGGGGUCGCUCCCCCAGGCACCUAGUGCCCAUCGUUUACGGCGUGGACUAC